GUGGUAUUAAGUAGUUUUUAACAUUGCCGCUCGUCUUGCGGUGCUAUGGUAAACUGGGUUAGGUUCUAAUUCAACUGCUUGCUUGAACGUUUCCAGACUUCUUGUCUCCAGUAAUUUGCAAAGCUAUUCCAAGAAUGUUAUAUGAUAUAGCUUUAAAACGAUCAUCUGGAGGAAUAAACACGUUUCCAUGUAUUGUAAGAUUCAAUUUUGAAGUACUACUACACAUUUUUCAACAUCCUGGGAGUGGUAAUAACAAAGAAAAUACAAGAAAUAUGCAUAUACUACUGAUGGUAUCACGUGGAAUACUUCCUGGACUUCCAUCUCUAAUUCUACAGGAAUAAGGUUUGAAAAGCUUAUUAAAUUUUACAAAUCCCAUGUAAAGUAUACUUAAUGAACGAAUAAUUCCUUUCUUUUGAAAUACUUCAAGUCUGAGAAUGUUUUGAUGUAGAUCCGAUAGCCUUGAUUUAAAUUGUGUUUUUUCUGGAGUACAUUUUGAUAACGCAUAAUCUAGAAUACGAACACUGUUAAUAUACUGCUUUUCACGGUAGGUCAUUGACGCCAGCAUUAACCAUCCAGUGAUUGCAUCAUGAUGAACAUUUUGAAGCAGGAAACACAUUUG
RNAcentral lists this long non-coding RNA (619 nucleotides) under Mytilus galloprovincialis (Mediterranean mussel). The record is from RNAcentral. Lineage: Eukaryota; Metazoa; Mollusca; Bivalvia; Mytilida; Mytilidae.